AGAACGAACGCUGGCGGCAGGCUUAACACAUGCAAGUCGAGCCGCCCCGCAAGGGGAGCGGCAGACGGGUGAGUAACGCGUGGGAACGUACCCCUCGGUUCGGAAUAACUCAGGGAAACUUGAGCUAAUACCGGAUACGGCAUUCAAGAGAAAUCUUGGCGGCGAAAGAUUUAUCGCCGAGGGAUCGGCCCGCGUCCGAUUAGCUAGUUGGUGUGGUAAUGGCGCACCAAGGCGACGAUCGGUAGC
This 246-nucleotide ribosomal RNA is filed under the name uncultured bacterium. RNAcentral's name for it is "partial small subunit ribosomal RNA". It matches the Rfam family "Bacterial small subunit ribosomal RNA", at positions 26 to 287 of the family's 1533-position model. The record is from RNAcentral.